Molecule: long non-coding RNA, 1854 nt
Filed under: Anas platyrhynchos platyrhynchos (common mallard)
Lineage: Eukaryota; Metazoa; Chordata; Aves; Anseriformes; Anatidae
Description: lncRNA (ENSAPLG00000026518.1)
Source: RNAcentral
CUUUCAUAUAGAUUUGUGUGUGUACAAUAUAUAAUAAAGUACAAAUAGGUACAUAAAGGGAGAAAGAAAAAAAUAUUCUGAACUCUUUCACCUUCUGGACACUUUUCCUUGUUUCAAGGGAACGUUAAAAGUAUAUAGUUUUCCAAAAUGAGCAAAAUAGAGGAGGAAAAAACAAACAAACAAACGAACAAACAAAUAUAAGUUUAUCUAUGGUUAAGAUUUCCCCAAAAUAACCAUUUAAAAUACUAUUAAUAAAAGAGGAUGAAUAUAUCUCAAAGUUUUCAAUCACUUCUGCAAGUAAUAUCAUUGUUGGUAUAGGGAUUCAUGAUUCUGAGUGCCUCAUUUAUUUAUGUUUAUAUUUAUAUAUAUAUAUAUAUGUAAUGUCAAUAAAUUCAGGUUUAAAUACAUAAAGCCUGAAAUUCCAAUGUGUAUGUUAACAACCCCCUUCACCAAAUACUAGGAAUAAAGAUUAGUAAUAAACUAGAGAAUUAAUAGCAAGUGCACUUAUUACCAUGGAAACCCAGCUAAAACAAAUACUAGGAGGUUUUGAUUCCCAGAAUUCACACAUGCCAAUACAAUUAUUCUGCAGAGCUGCCCAUAGUGCAAGUGAUCCUAUGCAUGCAGCGUGCCUAUACAACAAUGAUAUUCCUCUCCCUAUGUACGCUGUGAACUCUCUUCUGCUUCUCAAUCUCCGCUGAGGUAAUAUCGACUGGAGUAUUAAUAAUAGCGGUUGUCUAAAUUUGGAGUUAAAGGGCCAGGGUAGAAGACUGGGUGGGAACAGGGCGAUUUCAGUUUGUUUUGUCCUGUUUCUAUGCUCAUAUGUGUAUUUGUCUCAGACUGCCUGAAUGUUGCCAUAGUGACCUUUGAUAAAUCCACGUUAUGGAUGCUGUGAAAUAUAAAGCCAUGCCACAUUUCAGGGAGUGUAAGUUCAUGGAAUGAAGCAGGGGCUGGGAUCUUCAAAGGCACAGCAAAUGCCGCUGCUCAGCUUGGAUGCACUCAGAGAAGGAGCACUUCAUAAACGCUGCACUCAACCACGGCAGAGCUGGGAAAAUCCAACCAGUUCGUCUCCUCCGGGGUGGCUGCUUGCGCUGCAUUACCUGACGUUUUCCCCAACCCAGCUUUGCAUUACUCAAGUGCCAGAGGUUACAUUAAGGAGGUGUGAACAUCAUGAGUCUGGAGGGGAGCCAAAGCUCACGAAGGUCAAGAGAGGAUUAUUUCCACCGACUUCAACUGGACUUUCAAUCUGUUCUGUGUACAGACUGAGACUUUUCCUGCAUACGCUUAAGAAAAUAAGGUGACAUGCCGUGUAAUUAGUGGGACCACCUCAUGGGCUUGCUUGGGAUUCCUCUCUAAUGUCAAGUUUGCUAAAUUCACCUGGGAACAUUCCUGUAGGGAGAAUGCAAAAUGCAUCUUCUAGCAGGUGUCUGUUGUCUUAGAAGAAAAAGUGGCCAGGAGAAGCUCAAUGGCAUGAAGAUGUUCAAAAUAUGAAGACAACAUGCAGAAUUAGGGCUGGAAAAGUAAUACAGCGGUUAGCAAAAGCUGAGAUCAGUUACCUGCUUUGGAGAUGUUUUCAGCCAUCAAGGACAGACAGCUCAGACAGCCAAACCUCUGAGUCACUGCACUUUCAUUUAUGAAUACAGAACCAAAGCAAUCUAGGGGCACUGGAAGGAUAUAGGCACUGAAAUCAGUGAGGCAGUUCAAUGUUGUGAUUGAGAAGGAGUUGCUCCAUUAGCUUGGUAGGUCCUCAUCUCAUUUAACGGCCUUUGCAGAUCUCACCCAACGUGCUGAAAUGCAUCUUCAGCUUUGCCAUCAACCUUCAAAUAAAUUACCAUGGAGAGGUGUUUAGAGACCCCA